Molecule: non-coding RNA, 94 nt
Organism: Tulasnella sp. 427
Lineage: Eukaryota; Fungi; Basidiomycota; Agaricomycetes; Cantharellales; Tulasnellaceae
Source: the annotation of a GenBank genome assembly
GGUUCAUUAGUGUAGCGGUUAUCACUUCGGAUUCUGAUCGGUUGAAAUACCUACAGACCUUCCGACAACCCCGGUUCGAAUCCGGGAUGGACCU